GGAGGAAUAUUGGUCAAUGGGGCGCGAGCCUGAACCAGCCAAGUAGCGUGCAGGAUGACGGCCCUAUGGGUUGUAAACUGCUUUUAUGCGGGGAUAAAGUGAGGGACGCGUCCCUUUUUGCAGGUACCGCAUGAAUAAGGACCGGCUAAUUCCGUGCCAGCAGCCGCGGUAAUACGGAAGGUCCGGGCGUUAUCCGGAUUUAUUGGGUUUAAAGGGAGCGCAGGCCGCUGGGCAAGCGUGUUGUGAAAUGCAGUCGCUCAACGUCUGCACUGCAGCGCGAACUGCCCAGCUUGAGUGCGCGCAACGUUGGCGGAAUUCGCCGUGUAGCGGUGAAAUGCUUAGAUAUGGCGAAGAACUCCGAUUGCGAAGGCAGCUGACGGGUGCGUAACUGACGCUCAUGCUC
Molecule: ribosomal RNA, 403 nt
Filed under: uncultured Prevotella sp.
Lineage: Bacteria; Pseudomonadati; Bacteroidota; Bacteroidia; Bacteroidales; Prevotellaceae
Description: bacterial SSU rRNA
Rfam family: Bacterial small subunit ribosomal RNA
Source: RNAcentral